RNAcentral lists this ribosomal RNA (301 nucleotides) under uncultured bacterium. RNAcentral describes it as "partial 16S ribosomal RNA". It matches the Rfam family "Bacterial small subunit ribosomal RNA", at positions 509 to 807 of the family's 1533-position model. The record is from RNAcentral.
CAGCCGCCGCGGGAAUACGUAGGUGGCAAGCGUUAUCCGGAAUUAUUGGGCGUAAAGCGCGCGUAGGCGGUUUUUUAAGUCUGAUGUGAGAGCCCACGGCUCAACCGUGGAGGGUCAUUGGAAACUGGAAAACUUGAGUGCAGAAGAGGAAAGUGGAAUUCCAUGUGUAGCGGUGAAAUGCGCAGAGAUAUGGAGGAACACCAGUGGCGAAGGCGACUUUCUGGUCUGUAACUGACGCUGAUGUGCGAAAGCGUGGGGAUCAAACAGGAUUAGAUACCCGCGUAGUCCCUGUCUCUUAUAC